GCCAUGGUUUUGAGAGGACUUCUUUUUUGUUUUUUGAAGUUGUCCUAGCAAGACUAAGAUAGAGUAUCACUGAGAGAACUUGUACGAAG
This 89-nucleotide microRNA precursor is filed under the name Echinops telfairi (small Madagascar hedgehog). RNAcentral describes it as "miRNA (ENSETEG00000021458.1)". Lineage: Eukaryota; Metazoa; Chordata; Mammalia; Afrosoricida; Tenrecidae. The record is from RNAcentral.